GUGACGGAGAACAACUUCCUGCGCCGAGAGCUCCGCGCCUGAUUUGCGCGUUCUUGCGGAAACCCCCGCAGGGGCGGGUGGCGGAGGGGGCAUUUCGCAAGCUAUUACCUUGUUUAGAAGUUUUUCAAGAUACUGGCUUUAUUACAUUCGUUUGUAGACUGGGCGCAGCUUUGUAAAGACCUUGUUUUUUGUGUCCCUGUGAGAAUGAACGUUUUUUGAAAGGAUCACUUGAACGACCAAUUUAGCUCCGAAGUUUUGUCUAGCGUUUGUGAAGAUUUAGAUUUAGCAAUGUUUCAGUCUUACUUUAUAGCUCAGGCGUAGACAUUUCUUUCUGCACACUGUAAGGAGAUUAUUAGAUAAUAACGUUUAGAUAAUUUAGGUAAAUUUAGAUAAUGAACGUGUAGAGCAAAACCAGGAUGAACAUUUGCCACUGCCUGUGAAAAUGGCUGUUUAAAAGUAUUACAUUAGCCUGGGUGUAGAGAAAACUUGAGGGAGUGGAUCUGAAGUAGGUAGCGUAUUAAUAGUUAACGCCCAGUAAUAUUGAGCGUUAAAAUGGAUCAAAUGCUGGGACAAACUUAGCAUCAAUCUCCAAAAUAGUCAAGAAAUCCAAUGAGAUAGGAACUGUUAUUUUACAGAUGUGGAAACUGACUUAAGAAGCCAAGUGUCUUGCCCAGAGUUGCCCAGCUGAGCCGACCACUGACACAGGAUUCCAAGGCCGGUUACAUAAUUUCUGGGGCCCAGUGAGAAAAGAAAAUGCAGGACCCCCGACGUUCAUAAAGCAACCCCCUCUCUGAUGCCCCUGGACAACUGAAAGCCUCUACAAAUUUAUUCUGAGAGACUUGGACAUGGAAGCUUGAUUUUUGACAUGAAAGCAAUCUUGCAUCUAUUCAAGAUAUUCUGUGAAAACUAUUUUCCUCUCAAAAUUUUUCAAAAUAUAUUCUUCAAGCUAACUUUUGAUGGUUUUCUGAGAGGUAAUUAACAGUGGCGAUUUGCAGAAACUACACCAUCACUGUUAAAGAGUGUGAAAGCCAUGUUAGUGAAUCAGUACGAAAUGGUAGAAAGAAGAUGACUGGAACAAAUAUUAGGAGACUAGGACCCAUCAUGGCUGUACAACUUUGGGAAGAUCCAUUCAUGAUAACCCAGAAGUUCACCAGGGUCAUGCUGAGAUCUCAUGCCAACCUCAAUGACUAAAUGUUCCCCCCAGAGAAAGAAGAAUGUGUAUUUGGCCUCAACCCUGAUUCUUAUCCAGAAUACCUCAGACUAUGGCAUCUACCUUGUGGUCCAUCCAUUGGGAUGUUUGGCCUCUUGUCCACCCUUAAUCCAGAUAUGAGUGCCUCCCAACUCAGAAGUUUAAAAUCCCUGGGGGUCACUGUCUGUUGUGGUGAGGAGCCCAUGCACCAGACAGGAGAGUUGAUGCCUCCAAAUCUGCCUCCUCUAAGGCACAGCUCUGGGAUGGGAUCUGUUGCAAGCUGGCACUUACGCCAUGCAUCACUGGAUAGCCCCACACUUGUGUCGCCUGUUAGGGUCUACGCUUGCCCCACAAUCCUUGUGCCCUGGAACACUCUGGCUGGCUCUUAUCCUGGGGUGGGCCUGGGUUCUUUCUUUUUCCUUCUAGACUUUCUGAGUCUGGUUUGUGUCCCUCUCUUCUGUCAGGCUGUAGUAACUUCUGAAAAGGAGCCACAUAAUAUGAACUGUGUAAUUUUGGUGAUUUCCACAUAUAAGCUCAGUGCUUUGAUAUUUGCAUUUGAAAGUAACACUGCAUAAUAUAAACAGUAAAAAUUAUGCUUACAAUUUAAAAUACUAAUUUUUCUUUACUGAAAAUGGCAUGA
Sus scrofa (pig) is the source of this 1829-nucleotide non-coding RNA. NCBI's taxonomy places the organism in Eukaryota, Metazoa, Chordata, Mammalia, Artiodactyla, Suidae. The record is from RefSeq and is a predicted model, not a curated record.